AACGCGUGGGUAACCUGCCCUAUACACAUGGAUAACAUACUGAAAAGUUUUACUAAUACAUGAUAAUAUAUAUUUACGGCAUCGUAGAUAUAUCAAAGUGUUAGCGGUAUAGGAUGGACCCGCGUCUGAUUAGCUAGUUGGUGAGAUAACUGCCCACCAAGGCGACGAUCAGUAGCCGACCUGAGAGGGUGAUCGGCCACAUUGGAACUGAGACACGGUCCAAACUCCUACGGGAGGCAGCAGCC
This 245-nucleotide ribosomal RNA is filed under the name uncultured Peptostreptococcus sp. Its description in RNAcentral is "partial 16S ribosomal RNA". It matches the Rfam family "Bacterial small subunit ribosomal RNA", at positions 112 to 355 of the family's 1533-position model. Lineage: Bacteria; Bacillati; Bacillota; Clostridia; Peptostreptococcales; Peptostreptococcaceae. The record is from RNAcentral.